This 454-nucleotide ribosomal RNA is filed under the name uncultured Porphyromonadaceae bacterium. RNAcentral describes it as "bacterial SSU rRNA". It matches the Rfam family "Bacterial small subunit ribosomal RNA", at positions 341 to 792 of the family's 1533-position model. The record is from RNAcentral. Lineage: Bacteria; Pseudomonadati; Bacteroidota; Bacteroidia; Bacteroidales; Porphyromonadaceae.
ACGGAAGGCAGCAGUAAGGGAUAUUGGGCAAUGGGGGGAACCCUGACCCAGCCAUGCCGCGUGAGGGAAUGAGGCCCUACGGGUCGUGAACCUCUUUUGCCUGGGGAUAACCCCUCCCGCGCGACGGGGGGCUGCAGGUACCAGGCGAAUAAGCAUCGGCUAACUCCGUGCCAGCAGCCGCGGUAAUACGGAGGAUGCGAGCGUUAUCCGGAUUUAUUGGGUUUAAAGGGUGCGUAGGCGGGAUGUUAAGUCAGCGGUGAAAGCGUGUAGCUCAACUAUACCAAGCCGUUGAAACUGGCGUUCUUGAGUGUAAACGAGGUAGGCGGAAUGUGACGUGUAGCGGUGAAAUGCUUAGAUAUGUCACAGAACCCCGAUUGCGAAGGCAGCUUACCAGCAUACAACUGACGCUGAGGCACGAAAGUGCGGGGAUCAAACAGGAUUAGAUACCCUGGUA